GUAACAAGGUUUCCGUAGGUGAACCUGCGGAAGGAUCAUUACUGAAAGAUGAUAGGGUUUGAGCUCUUUGUGUGCUCGACUCUUACUCUUAUCCAUUACACACCUUUGUGCACCAUGGGACGAAUUAAAGUCCCCUUAUUUACAAUAAAGACCCAGUUAUAUGCAUGUUGUUAUACGCUCUACGGAGUAAUGUACAACUUUCAACAACGGAUCUCUUGGCUUUCGCAUCGAUGAAGAACGCAGCGAACGUGCGAAACGUAAUGUGAAUUGCAGAAUUCAGUGAAUCAUCGAAUCUUUGAACGCAUCUUGCGCUCCUUGGUAUUCCGAGGAGCAUGCCUGUUUGAGUGUCGUGAAAUACUCAAUUUCAAUUUUGAAAUUGGAUUUGGGUGCUGUUGUGGACAUUCUACAACUCAUCCUAAAUGCAUUAGCGAUCUGCCUCUGAUCACAUGCAAUGUGAUAAGAAAAAAAGCAUUGUAAGGAUCGGGGUUUAAUAUUUGCUUCUAACCGUCGAAAGACAAAGCGCAUAUAUAUGUCAUUUGACCUCAAAUCAGGUAGGACUACCCGCUGAACUUAAGCA
RNAcentral lists this ribosomal RNA (577 nucleotides) under Geastrum schmidelii. RNAcentral's name for it is "eukaryotic LSU rRNA". The stretch from base 196 to 350 matches the Rfam family "5.8S ribosomal RNA". The record is from RNAcentral. Lineage: Eukaryota; Fungi; Basidiomycota; Agaricomycetes; Geastrales; Geastraceae.